RNAcentral lists this ribosomal RNA (261 nucleotides) under uncultured bacterium. RNAcentral's name for it is "partial 16S ribosomal RNA". It matches the Rfam family "Bacterial small subunit ribosomal RNA", at positions 524 to 784 of the family's 1533-position model. The record is from RNAcentral.
UACGAAGGGGGCUAGCGUUGCUCGGAAUUACUGGGCGUAAAGGGAGCGUAGGCGGACAUUUAAGUCAGAGGUGAAAUCCCGGAGCUUAACUUCGGAACUGCCUUUGAUACUGGGUGUCUUGAGUGUGAGAGAGGUAUGUGGAACUCCGAGUGUAGAGGUGAAAUUCGUAGAUAUUCGGAAGAACACCAGUGGCGAAGGCGACUUCCUGGACUGUAACUGACGCUGAGGCGCGAAAGCGUGGGGAGCAAACAGGAUUAGAAA